Molecule: ribosomal RNA, 666 nt
Filed under: Triticum aestivum (bread wheat)
Lineage: Eukaryota; Viridiplantae; Streptophyta; Magnoliopsida; Poales; Poaceae
Description: partial small subunit ribosomal RNA
Source: RNAcentral
AUGGUGGAGGGCUCUGCGUCCGACAUCGCCAACCUGAAGUUCCUCCUCCUGUGUUUCCAACAGAUGUCGGGUCUCACCAUCAACUUCGAUAAGAGUGAAGUGAUGGUCCUCGGCUACCCCCCGGACGAAGCUUUGUCCAUUGCGGACCGGCUUAACUGCCGCCUGGGCACCUUCCCCACAACCUACUUGGGGGUGCCCAUUAGUGACUCCAGACUCACCGUCGCGGAUCUUCGCCCGACGGUGACUAGGAUGCAACAUAGGGUUGAACCCUGGAGGGGCCGCUGGCUGUCGAAAGCUGCCAGGGUGAUCCUAAUCAACUCCUCGCUUGCUAGCCUUCUCUGGUUUCUCAUGAGCUUCUACAGCCUGCAUGAGACCCUCCACCAGGAGGUGGCCAAAUAUCAGUCGAGGUUCUUCUGGGCUGGCGAGGGCAACAAGCAGAAGUACCAUAUGAUGAGUUGGCCCGACAUCUGCAAACCUGAAGACGAGGGGGGCCUUGGGAUCAUGUCUUUCCGACGCAUGAACAUUGCCCUCCUGACCCGAUGGCUGUGGCGUAUCGCCAACGGGAGGGAGGCCUCUGGCUCACCAUCAUCCGUAAUAAGUACCUCCGUGGCCAACCUCUUGCCUUUUGCCAACGUACGGGUGGUUCCCAGUUCUGGCAGUCCAUGA